GAACCUGCCUCAAAGAGGGGGACAACAGUUGGAAACGACUGCUAAUACCGCAUAAGCCCACGGUGCCGCAUGGCACAGAGGGAAAAGGAGCAAUCCGCUUUGAGAUGGCCUCGCGUCCGAUUAGCUAGUUGGUGAGGUAACGGCCCACCAAGGCGACGAUCGGUAGCCGGACUGAGAGGUUGAACGGCCACAUUGGGACUGAGACACGGCCCAGACUCCUACGGGAGGCAGCAGUGGGGAAUAUUGCACAAUGGGGGAAACCCUGAUGCAGCGACGCCGCGUGGAGGAAGAAGGUCUUCGGAUUGUAAACUCCUGUUGUUGGGGAAGAUAAUGACGGUACCCAACAAGGAAGUGACGGCUAACUACGUGCCAGCAGCCGCGGUAAAACGUAGGUCACAAGCGUUGUCCGGAAUUACUGGGUGUAAAGGGAGCGCAGGCGGGAAGAUAAGUUGGAAGUGAAAUCUAUGGGCUCAACCCAUAAACUGCUUUCAAAACUGUUUUUCUUGAGUAGUGCAGAGGUAGGCGGAAUUCCCGGUGUAGCGGUGGAAUGCGUAGAUAUCGGGAGGAACACCAGUGGCGAAGGCGGCCUACUGGGCACCAACUGACGCUGAGGCUCGAAAGUGUUGGUAGCAAACAGGAUUAGAUACCCUGGUAGUCCACACCGUAAACGAUGAUUACUAGGUG
This 684-nucleotide ribosomal RNA is filed under the name uncultured bacterium. RNAcentral describes it as "bacterial SSU rRNA". It matches the Rfam family "Bacterial small subunit ribosomal RNA", at positions 122 to 822 of the family's 1533-position model. The record is from RNAcentral.